This 648-nucleotide ribosomal RNA is filed under the name Pseudozyma sp. OL71. RNAcentral describes it as "eukaryotic LSU rRNA". It matches the Rfam family "Eukaryotic large subunit ribosomal RNA", at positions 38 to 667 of the family's 3401-position model. The record is from RNAcentral. Lineage: Eukaryota; Fungi; Basidiomycota; Ustilaginomycetes; Ustilaginales; Ustilaginaceae.
GCAUAUCAAUAAGCGGAGGAAAAGAAACUAACAAGGAUUCCCCUAGUAACGGCGAGUGAAGAGGGAAGAGCCCAAGAUUGAAAGCUGGCGUCUUCGACGUCCGCAUUGUAAUCUCAAGAAGUGUUUUCCGCUACGGACCAAGCCUAAGUCUCCUGGAAAGGAGCAUCAUAGAGGGUGAUAAUCCCGUACAUGGCUUGGAGCGCCCGCAGCUUUGUGAUACGCUUUCUAAGAGUCGAGUUGUUUGGGAAUGCAGCUCAAAAUGGGUGGUAAAUGCCAUCUAAGGCUAAAUAUUGGGGAGAGACCGAUAGCGAACAAGUACAGUGAUGGAAAGAUGAAAAGAACUUUGAAAAGAGAGUUAAACAGUACGUGAAAUUGCCAAAAGGGAAGGGUAGGAGGUCAGAGAUGCUUUUGGGGAUUCAGCCUUGCUUUUGCAUGGUGUUUUUCCCCUCGGGCAGGCCAACGUCGGUUUUGGGCACUGGAGAAGGGUGGAAGGAAUGUGGCAUCCCUCGGGAUGUGUUAUAGCCUUCUACUGGAUACAGCGACCGAGACCGAGGACAGCAGCGUACUCGCAAGAGCGGGCCUUCGGGCACCUUUACGCUUAGGGCGUUGGCAUAAUGGCCCUCUACCACCCGUCUUGAAACACGGACC